Molecule: ribosomal RNA, 253 nt
Filed under: uncultured bacterium
Lineage: Bacteria
Description: partial 16S ribosomal RNA
Rfam family: Bacterial small subunit ribosomal RNA
Source: RNAcentral
UACGGAGGAUCCAAGCGUUAUCCGGAUUUAUUGGGUUUAAAGGGUGCGUAGGCGGUUUAUUAAGUCAGGGGUGAAAGACGGCAGCUUAACUGUCGCAGUGCCUUUGAUACUGAUGAACUUGAAUGUACUAGAAGUAGGCGGAAUGUGACAAGUAGCGGUGAAAUGCAUAGAUAUGUCACAGAACACCGAUUGCGAAGGCAGCUUACUACGGUAUGAUUGACGCUGAGGCACGAAAGCGUGGGGAUCAAACAGG